RNAcentral lists this ribosomal RNA (851 nucleotides) under Rhodococcus sp. (in: high G+C Gram-positive bacteria). RNAcentral describes it as "bacterial SSU rRNA". It matches the Rfam family "Bacterial small subunit ribosomal RNA", at positions 9 to 873 of the family's 1533-position model. Lineage: Bacteria; Bacillati; Actinomycetota; Actinomycetes; Mycobacteriales; Nocardiaceae. The record is from RNAcentral.
GAGUUUGGAUCUGGCUCAGGACGAACGCUGGCGGCGUGCUUAACACAUGCAAGUCGAACGGUAAGGCCUUUCGGGGUACACGAGUGGCGAACGGGUGAGUAACACGUGGGUGAUCUGCCCUGCACUUCGGGAUAAGCCCGGGAAACUGGGUCUAAUACCGGAUAGGACUGCGCGGUGCAUGCCGUGUGGUGGAAAGAUUUCAUCGGUGCAGGAUGGGCCCGCGGCCUAUCAGCUUGUUGGUGGGGUAAUGGCCUACCAAGGCGACGACGGGUAGCCGGCCUGAGAGGGCGACCGGCCACACUGGGACUGAGACACGGCCCAGACUCCUACGGGAGGCAGCAGUGGGGAAUAUUGCACAAUGGGCGCAAGCCUGAUGCAGCGACGCCGCGUGAGGGAUGACGGCCUUCGGGUUGUAAACCUCUUUCAGCAGGGACGAAGCGUGAGUGACGGUACCUGCAGAAGAAGCACCGGCCAACUACGUGCCAGCAGCCGCGGUAAUACGUAGGGUGCAAGCGUUGUCCGGAAUUACUGGGCGUAAAGAGCUCGUAGGCGGUUUGUCGCGUCGUCUGUGAAAACCAGCAGCUCAACUGUUGGCUUGCAGGCGAUACGGGCAGACUUGAGUAUUUCAGGGGAGACUGGAAUUCCUGGUGUAGCGGUGAAAUGCGCAGAUAUCAGGAGGAACACCGGUGGCGAAGGCGGGUCUCUGGGAAAUAACUGACGCUGAGGAGCGAAAGCGUGGGUAGCGAACAGGAUUAGAUACCCUGGUAGUCCACGCCGUAAACGGUGGGCGCUAGGUGUGGGUUUCCUUCCACGGGAUCCGUGCCGUAGCUAACGCACUAAGCGUCCACCGC